RNAcentral lists this ribosomal RNA (253 nucleotides) under uncultured bacterium. Its description in RNAcentral is "partial 16S ribosomal RNA". It matches the Rfam family "Bacterial small subunit ribosomal RNA", at positions 524 to 776 of the family's 1533-position model. The record is from RNAcentral.
UACAGAGGCCCCAAGCGUUACUGAGAAUCACUGGGUUUAAAGGGUGCGUAGGUGGCGCGUUAAGUCCGUUGUGAAAGCCCUGGGCUCAACCCAGGAACUGCUUCGGAUACUGGCGCGCUUGAGGCUAGUAGGGGUCACUGGAACUGACGGUGGAGCGGUGAAAUGCGUAGAGAUGUGGAGGAAUACCAAUGGCGAAGGCAGCCCCCUGGGAUAAUAUUGACGCUCAUGCACGAAAGCGUGGGGAGCAAACAGG